This is a long non-coding RNA of Leopardus geoffroyi (Geoffroy's cat), 3585 nucleotides long. RefSeq lists it as uncharacterized. The record is from RefSeq and is a predicted model, not a curated record. Lineage: Eukaryota; Metazoa; Chordata; Mammalia; Carnivora; Felidae. The transcript has 2 exons.
AUGAACUGUGAGAUCAUGAACUGAGCCGAAAUCAGGAGUUGGACACUUAAACGACUGAGCCACCCAGGCACCCGUACAUUUAUAUUCUUUAAUUUGAAAGAUAAGUGGUAUCUUGGCUAAGAGAAAAAUGUAUCAUCCAUCAUAAUUUAAUUAACUCUUAAAAACAAAACUGUGCCUUGUUAUUAAAACAGAAGAACAAGUUGGCCAUUUGUUAACGGUGAUGUGGUAAUGUGAAAUAAGGACACAGGAGACAAGGAAGGCUGACAAUCAUUAAUUCUGCUCAUAUUAUAGUAACUGAGCUUUGUUGAUACUUUGGUGUAAAGGAACUAAAAAGACCAUCUAGAGCUGAGUUUGAGACUGGUUUGCGGGGCAAAGAAGAACGGGGAGAGCAACAGAGAGCUCCUGGGCUCACUAUAAUCUUAUAGUCACAGCCAUUUUCAUCAGUUGAUUUGUUGGCAAACACUAACGCUUUGUUUUAUAAAUACACUAUAGAGUGAUAGGUUACAGUGUCAAAAAUAAAGGGCCAAAUGCCCAUAGCUAAAUGUGAAAACCGCAUACAACUUAGAACCACAGUUACUGAACUUACAUAAAUGUGGACUUGAUCAGAUGACUUUAGAUGACUCCUGAGACAAUAAAGACCCAGAAAACAAUUUACGUCACAUCUCUGAAUCACUCAAAGAAACCUUGAAACUUGGGACAUAGUUUACUUAGCGUGUCCUUUUUAAAAUUGUCAGUUUUGAAAGAGUAAACAUUAAUCAUCUUGACAUCUCUACACUCAAGGAAAUCCUCAUGGUUUCUUGACAGGAUACAAUAUAGGAGGCUACCUCAUUUACAAAACAGAUGAUUUCAAAUUUUUGUUAGUAUGUUAGAAAGACAUUGGGAAUGAAAUCAAACCUUUCUAAGUACUUGAUCCUGAUGGUCCACCUACCUCAGCUUUCAGUGUCCAACUAAAAGCCCUGCUUAAUCAAUUCUUGCUUAAUCAGAAAGGAGCUAGUGGUGAUUCUGAGAUCGAAAGGCAAGGGAGUCCAAGUAGUAAAGGGGGCCACGAUAUCAGUAAAAUUUCUUAAGUGCUUUGUUCUGACAAGUGGCUAUAAGAAGAACAAAAAAAAAAGGAAUAUUAACCAAUGUGCCCUGUGGAUAAUCUGAAACAGAAAAACUGGAGAAAUUUAUAAUUGCUAUAUAAUAAUGAACACUUAACUAAAAUGCUUCACUAGUGGCUUUUCAAAUUCUACUGGCAGCUCGACGAUGAACUCUUGUUUUCAUUUGUUUUCUUUGGCAGGAAAAUGGAUGAUCACUGACAACAGAUUAUAUGCUUGUGCCUUACUUAACCUUACAGCUUACAUGUUAAACUCCUGUCAGAGGCACCCCUUUCCUAGUGGAACAGGGACCACUGGAGUUUUUAAAAAUGCUGUCAUUGAGUGUGGCAACAGUGAAGGAGUUAACUCCCAAGUUCCUAAUCUAAUUAAAGAUGUUUCUAGCCUUUCAGUAUGCAUGUUGUAAGAAAAGUAUUUUGGAGUUGAAUGUCACUAACCAUGCAUAUUGUAGGAACUAUCAAUAUAAAUUAACAUUAUAAUUAAGUCUGUGAUAAUAUUUUGGAGCCUCUGAUGUAUAACUUUUAUUCUUUACCAGAUAAUACUUUUCAGUAUCUGUCCAUAUUAGAAGAGUCAUUCCGUUAAAUAUCUUAAAUGUGGGUAAGCACAAAAACAUUUUCUAUUAUGAUAUUCUCUAAAUGUAGUCUUCUGUAGUAUGUUCUGAUAUGCUAGAAAGUUAAUGGGUCAAAGUAUCUUUCAUAAUUCAGUCUAUAUUGUAAGAGUAUGUCAGGGACUGAGAGUUUCAUGAGUGCUGUUUUUUGAUCCCAUACAAUGAGCACACUAUAUAUUUGGUGCCUUUUUUUCCUACCAAAGAAAGAUUAGGUCAAAACUGGUGCUAAAUUUCAUGUUCCUUCCAAAAUUAUUUUUUCUUUUUAAAUAUAACACAAUAGGAGAGGUGUAGAUCCAGCAGUAUUAUGCAUGUUGUAUUUUGUAUAUACAUCUAAGGAAAAAAACCUCACCUAAAAACUAGUAUCUACUUAGAGGUAUAUGAUUUUUGUUAACACAUAAGGCUUCCAAGUGUAAAACUGGUAGGAAAAUAAUCACUAAAUGAAAACUUAGUAAUGAACAUAGCCCCCCAAGGUAAUAACUUUAAGGAAGAGGUCCCGUACAAUGCUAUAUGUCAAUUAUAUCUCAGUUAAAAAAUACAAAAGUCCCUUAUCAAUGUUUCUAGCACAAAGUUAGCUAUUCAAAGUAUUCUGUAACUCUGAGAGGGUACAGAGAAAAUUUUAUGUAUGUUUCUUCGUGUAUCUAUAUUUACAUAUGUACAAAAUAGCUUUCUGAUAAGCUUAUUUUAAGUAGAUAUUUUAAGCUAUUUUUCAGGCUAAAAUUUGAGUUUGGGGAGUCAUCAAUCUCAAAACUUGGACAAUGAGUUACAUUAAAAUAAAUUCUCACUGAAAGUAUCAUUGUUCAUCUUUCAGAUUUAACAAAGAAUUGAGUAAGGACCACAUCUGGGUGUCAGCAAACCUCAAAUCUAUGAUUUAUUAAGGGUUCUCAGCAUUUCAUGGUUGUAGCCAAUUGUAUGAUACCCACCUAAAAUUCCACAUGGAUCUCUGAGUUUUAAUGUCUCGUAAGUAGGAUUCAGAUGAAGUGAGGACAACAGGUUUUUAUUUAAUCCUGCUGACUUUUGUAGACUGCCUUAACUAUGAGCAUUUUAUAAAUGUAAAUUAGGAAAAUGGUGCACUAUAGAAAAUUAGGAAGACCAUACUAGAGUAUACUGGAUUCUCUGCUAACUAACGGUAACUCCUUUCUACUGUUAACAUGAGUUAAAUGUGGAGGGGAGAAUGGGGACUUGUUCAUCAGAAGUCACUGUACAGUGAGAUUAAAUAUCCCUUCAGUAACUUCUGAUGUAACUUAAUUUAUUGUGAUUGGAGAACUGUACGUUUUGCAAAGGCACUGCACAAUGCUUGAUAAAUUUGCAUUUUGUCAGUUUGUUCUCCGAUCGGUUUAUUUUAGCCUGAAAGUUGGAGCCACAACAAACAGAACCCUACAGUUUUAAGAGACAGCUUGGAUAUUUUAAGUAUCUCCUCAUAUAAUGUGACAUUUUUCAUGUCAACUUAUUUUAAUGUUUAUCUCAAAAAGCAAUUUUUAAAUUAUUUGCAUGUUUUCAAAGUUAGAAAAACAUGCCUUAUCUUAGACCUCAAAACCAAAUUAUUCCAAGUGCACACUGUGCCCCAGAGCGUGGCUCUGCUUCUCUACCUACACAGGAUGCCAUUUUUGGCACAGUAGUUGUUUUAAGUGCAGAUCACUAUGUGAAAUGAUUAUGCUGGAUUUGAUCAGUAUGCAGUAUUUUAGUAUUUGCCUUUAAAAACUGUUUUUUUUUUCUUUUUAAGGAGUAUAAUUUAUAAUUGAUUUUUUUUAUAAUGUGCAGUUUCAUAUAGAUAAGCAAAUCCUUUUUAAUGAAAAGAGCUUUGUAAUCAUUUGGAGAAGAAAAUCGUUUACUGUGGAACAAUGUGAUAUUCUCAGUAAAUACAAUAAAAAAAUUCUAGCAAAUUUC